Molecule: long non-coding RNA, 697 nt
Organism: Oreochromis niloticus (Nile tilapia)
Lineage: Eukaryota; Metazoa; Chordata; Actinopteri; Cichliformes; Cichlidae
Exons: 4
Source: RefSeq, a predicted model, not a curated record
GUCAAUUUUAAGAUGGCCUACGAAUGCGUUCCUUUCCCCGCCCCCGGAAGUUUAAUGUAGAGGACUGAAAGGAUCCUAAAUUUAAAAUACUGGAAAGAUUGUAAAACAGAAAAAAAGAAGUAGCGACCCUAAACUGGAUGAAGCUUGGUGGUUGGAUGGAUGCAUGGAUGGAUUGAAAGCAGCUUCGGGGCAGGAGAGCUGGAGGCACUUUGGUAGCCAUUAGUGCUUUUAGUACUUGAAGAGAAACCUGAAGAAAAAUACAGGAAGAUGUCUCGUUACGGGCUCUCGCUCUUGGCCCACGCACCUGUGAUUGUCUCCACCUGCUGCUGAUCUGGCUGAUUUCCCCAGCUGCUAUUUAAGGCAGUGGCACAGAGCAGCUCACCGCUGGAACGUUGAACCUCCUGAGUUCGUGCUCUCGGCAUUAUCAAAAGAAUCCUCUAUGUGAAUUUUGCUGUGGAACUAACGUUGAAUUCUGUGUGUAGAUAUCCCUCUUCUGGACCAAAUCAUGGGACCUGCCCGGGUGUGGCAGCAUGUGUGGAGUUUCGGAGCAAGUGCGGCUGAAGAGGAGUGCGUGUGUGCGGAGGAGCUGUGGCGGUGACUGUGUGGAAGAGGAAGCGUGUGUGGAUCCCCCCCCUUCUCUCCCCAGAGCCCUGGACCCCCCCUCUCCCAACUCACUGUACAUAUAUAUAGCACUGAG